This 823-nucleotide ribosomal RNA is filed under the name Neoplatypleura nobilis. Its description in RNAcentral is "partial 18S ribosomal RNA". It matches the Rfam family "Eukaryotic small subunit ribosomal RNA", at positions 52 to 777 of the family's 1831-position model. The record is from RNAcentral. Lineage: Eukaryota; Metazoa; Arthropoda; Insecta; Hemiptera; Cicadidae.
UGCAAGUCUCAGUACAUGCCGCACUAAGGUGAAACCGCAAAAGGCUCAUUAAAUCAGUUAUGGUUCCUUGGAUCUUAAACAGUUACUUGGAUAACUGUGGUAAUUCUAGAGCUAAUACAUGCAAACAAGUCCCGACCAGAGAUGGGAGGGACGCUUUUAUUAGAUCAAAACCGAUCGGCGUCCGGCUCCGGCCGGCGCCGUCUCUUUUGGUGACUCUGGAUAACUUUUAGCCGAUCGCACGGUCACAGUACCGGCGACGCAUCUUUCAAAUGUCUGACUUAUCAACUGUCGAUGGUAGGCUCUGCGCCUACCAUGGUUGUAACGGGUAACGGGGAAUCAGGGUUCGAUUCCGGAGAGGGAGCCUGAGAAACGGCUACCACAUCCAAGGAAGGCAGCAGGCGCGCAAAUUACCCACUCCCGGCACGGGGAGGUAGUGACGAAAAAUAACGAUACGGGACUCAUCCGAGGCCCCGUAAUCGGAAUGAGUACACUUUAAAUACUUUAACGAGUACCAAUUGGAGGGCAAGUCUGGUGCCAGCAGCCGCGGUAAUUCCAGCUCCAAUAGCGUAUAUUAAAGUUGUUGCGGUUAAAAAGCUCGUAGUUGGAUCUGUGUGCCACGCUGUCGGUUCACCGCCCGUCGGUGUAAACUGGCAUGUCUGUGGGACGUCCUGCCGGUGGCGGUACGGGCUGCCGGCGCUGCGUAGGGGCACAACCCCGAAGCACGCCGGCGUGUCCCGGUCCGCCGAUCCAAUCCCGCCGCGGUGCUCUUCACUGAGUGUCGAGGUGGGCCGGCACGUUUACUUUGAACAAAUUAGAGUGCUCA